AACGAACGCUGGCGGCGUGCUUAACACAUGCCAGUCGAACGGAAAGGCCCUGCUUUUGUGGGGUGCUCGAGUGGCGAACGGGUGAGUAACCCGUGAGUAACCUGCCCUUGACUUUGGGAUAACUUCAGGAAACUGGGGCUAAUACCGGCUAGGAGCUCCUGCUGCAUGGUGGGGGUGGGAAAGUUUCGGCGGUUGGGGAUGGACUCGCGGCGUAUCAGCUUGGUGGUGGGGUAGUGGCUUACCAAGGCCUGGACCGGUAGCCGGCCUGAGAGGGUCACCGGCCACAUUGGGACUGGGAUAAGGCCCAGACUACUACGGGAGGCAGCAGUGGGGAAUAUUGCACAAUGGGCGGAAGCAUGAUGCGGCAACGCCGCGUGGGGGAUGAGGGCCUUCGGGUUGUAAACCGCUUUCGCCUGUGACGAAGCGUGAGUGACGGUAAUGGGUAAAGAAGCACCGGCUAACUACGUG
This 468-nucleotide ribosomal RNA is filed under the name uncultured bacterium. RNAcentral describes it as "partial 16S ribosomal RNA". It matches the Rfam family "Bacterial small subunit ribosomal RNA", at positions 28 to 507 of the family's 1533-position model. The record is from RNAcentral.